This 162-nucleotide unclassified non-coding RNA is filed under the name soil metagenome. Its description in RNAcentral is "partial internal transcribed spacer 1". The record is from RNAcentral.
AAGAGACGUUGCCCUUCGGGGUAUACCUCCCACCCUUUGUUUAUUAUACCUUUGUUGCUUUGGCGGGCCCUGUCCUCGGACCACCGGCUUCUGCUGGUCAGUGCCCGCCAGAGGACCUAAAACUCUGUUUGUUAAUAUUGUCUGAGUACUAUAUAAUAGUUA